RNAcentral lists this long non-coding RNA (280 nucleotides) under Pan troglodytes (chimpanzee). RNAcentral describes it as "long non-coding RNA NONPTRT007531". The record is from RNAcentral. Lineage: Eukaryota; Metazoa; Chordata; Mammalia; Primates; Hominidae.
CCAAGUUGAGAAGCACUGUCCUAGGGGCUCAGGAAUUGCUUGGCCAACCUUCUUGCUUUAGAGAAGCCUAAAGUUUGUUUGGGGAGAUAAAAAUAUACAUUCCUUGGCCAGAUCAGUGCUGCUCAAAGUGUGGUCUCAGGACCAGAAGCAGCAGCAUUACCUGGGAACUUGUUAGAAACGCCUAUACUUGGACCCCACCCCAGACAUACUGAAUUAGAGACUUGGGUGGUGGGGACCCCCUGUGUGUUCUAUUAAGCUCUCCAGGUGGUUCUUAUGCAUG